Molecule: ribosomal RNA, 149 nt
Filed under: Trachelius ovum
Lineage: Eukaryota; Ciliophora; Litostomatea; Haptorida; Tracheliidae
Description: 5.8S ribosomal RNA
Rfam family: 5.8S ribosomal RNA
About the family: 5.8S ribosomal RNA (5.8S rRNA) is a component of the large subunit of the eukaryotic ribosome.
Source: RNAcentral
AAAUUUUCAACGAUGGAUGUCUUGGCUCCCAUAACGAUGAAGAACGCAGCAAGAAUGCGAUAUGCAAUGUGAAUUGCAGAACCACGAAUCAUUUGAUCUUUGAACGCAAAUGGCGCUGAUUAUAUCAGCAUACUUGUUUCAGUGUGCAU